RNAcentral lists this ribosomal RNA (475 nucleotides) under uncultured bacterium. RNAcentral describes it as "bacterial SSU rRNA". It matches the Rfam family "Bacterial small subunit ribosomal RNA", at positions 335 to 802 of the family's 1533-position model. The record is from RNAcentral.
ACUCCUACGGGAGGCAGCAGUAGGGAAUCUUCCACAAUGGACGAAAGUCUGAUGGAGCAACGCCGCGUGAGUGAAGAAGGGUUUCGGCUCGUAAAAACUCUGUUGUUAAAAGAAGAACAUAUCUGAGAGUAACUGUUCAGGUAUUGACGGUAUUUAACCAGAAAGCCACGGCUAACUACGUGCCAGCAGCCGCGGUAAUACGUAGGUGGCAAGCGUUGUCCGGAUUUAUUGGGGCGUAAAGCGAGCGCAGGCGGUUUUUAAGUCUGAUGUGAAAGCCUUCGGCUCAACCGAAGAAGUGCAUCGGAAACUGGGAAACUUGAGUGCAGAAGAGGACAGUGGAACUCCAUGUGUAGCGGUGAAAUGCGUAGAUAUAUGGAAGAACACCAGUGGCGAAGGCGGCUGUCUGGUCUGUAACUGACGCUGAGGCUCGAAAGUAUGGGUAGCAAACAGGAUUAGAUACCCUGGUAGGAUAGCG